UGUGCCAGCAGCCGCGGUAAUACAGAGGGCGCAAGCGUUAAUCGGAUUUACUGGGCGUAAAGCGUGCGUAGGCGGCUAUUUAAGUCGGAUGUGAAAGCCCUGGGCUCAACCUGGGAACUGCAUUCGAUACUGGGUAGCUAGAGAUCGGUAAAGGGCGGCGGAAUUCCGGGUGUAGCGGUGAAAUGCGUAGAUAUCCGGAGGACACCGAUGGCGAAGGCAACCGCCUGGGCCUGAUCUGACGCUGAGGCACGAAAGCGUGGGGAGCAAACAGGAUUAGA
Molecule: ribosomal RNA, 278 nt
Filed under: uncultured Lysobacterales bacterium
Lineage: Bacteria; Pseudomonadati; Pseudomonadota; Gammaproteobacteria; Lysobacterales
Description: uncultured Xanthomonadales bacterium partial 16S ribosomal RNA
Rfam family: Bacterial small subunit ribosomal RNA
Source: RNAcentral